GUCUCUGGGUUAAUGCUAUCUGGUCUGUACUUGGUAAAAGAAUGAUGGAGUGACGAAAAAGGAUAGUUCUACCACUUACUGGAUUGUGGGGUAAGCAACAAGAGAGUUAUAUAGGCAAAUCCGUAUAGCAUAAUCUUGAGUUGUGAUGCAUAGUGAAGACUUCGGUCGAGUAACGAAUUGAAUGAUUUCAUGUUUCCAAGAAAAGCUUCUAGUGUUAAUUUUUUAUCAACCUGUACCGAGAACGAACACACGUUCCCAAGAUGAGUAUUCUAAGGCGAGCGAGAAAACCAAUGUUAAGGAACUCUGCAAAAUAACCCCGUAAGUUCGCGAGAAGGGGCGCCUAUUUUUAAUAGGCCACAAA
RNAcentral lists this ribosomal RNA (361 nucleotides) under Klebsiella pneumoniae. RNAcentral's name for it is "partial 23S ribosomal RNA". It matches the Rfam family "Bacterial large subunit ribosomal RNA", at positions 1421 to 1783 of the family's 2925-position model. Lineage: Bacteria; Pseudomonadati; Pseudomonadota; Gammaproteobacteria; Enterobacterales; Enterobacteriaceae. The record is from RNAcentral.